This 572-nucleotide long non-coding RNA is filed under the name Fukomys damarensis (Damara mole-rat). RNAcentral's name for it is "lncRNA (ENSFDAG00000027879.1)". Lineage: Eukaryota; Metazoa; Chordata; Mammalia; Rodentia; Bathyergidae. The record is from RNAcentral.
GUCUUGGCGUUCUUCCUUUCUCUCUGCCGCAUCUCCACCCCGCUGCUCUUUCAGGUUUGAGGCACUGCUGGACAGUGCUCUGCGUCGCCGGCUCGCGACAGAAAUCAAGAGUGAUCUUUGGCUGAUUCUUAAAUUCCUGUCAGAUGAUCUUGAAGUCCAUGUCCCAGCUCAGCCUACUUUUAUGAGCUGAUUUAUUUCUUGGCCUUAUGUUGUCUUUCCUGCCUUUUCACGUGCUAUACUACCUUGCAGGUUUUGAUAAGGCCAAACAGCUUGCAAAAGAUGGUAGAGACGGUCCUCACCAGGUUUCCACUCCCAGGAACGAACUCACCUCUCUUCCUGCCUGGCUUUUACUGAAGAGCUUAUCUAGUGGCCCACAGCUGGGGUGCAGGUUUAUUAGCGCUGUGGCGUGGAUCCCUGUGCUCCUGUCUUUGUUGUCAGUGAGACUCUUGUCACUGACCCCCUCCAAGUAUUUCUCCUGUACCUGUGACAAGUGCAGAAGUCGGCCUCUAGGGAGAGGAAGACAUCACGCCUGCAUCAAAAGACUCCGGAAGGGACACUUCUCGAAACACUGA